CUUUUUUUCCCUCUUUCUUGAAAAUAGAUGCCACAUCUGCCCUCUUCAGACUUUUCACCUUUUCCCAUGUCUUUUAAAUGACUUGGUGAUUCAACAAAGCUCCUCUUUAAAAUUAUUUAUGAUGACAGUGUGUCAAGACUUGCCAUUUUGAAAAUUUUUUUUCUGAUUUUAGAUAUGCCUUUCAUACCUUCUUUGAGCAAUAUCUCAAUACUUUUCAUCUCAGUUGCCUUGAGAUCAAUUUUUUCAUUGCCUCUUUUCUAUAAACAUAUUUAUAAAUUCAGCCACUAGUGGAACAUUAUCAAUGCCCCUACCUGCUGCUCUUGGCACAACAUUGCACUUUUAAGCUUGUCCUUUGUAAUCUAAAUAAUCCAUUUCCCCUGCCUGUAUACUUUGCUGUGAUGUUUAAGAUACACGCACCCCUCAUUUGGCAAAGGUAAUUCCUUACAAUGCUUCAUGCUUUUCUUUCACAGUGGAGUAAUUUAUGUUGGUGUCCUUUUUCAGGAGACCCCUGCUUUUCAACCCCUCUUCUUCAUUACCUAUUCUUUCAUAAGACCUCAAAGGACAGUUUUGCGACUUUUUUGUUGACUUUGAGGUUUGUCUGUAUCAUAAUUCCACUGCACCACAAAUGCUUCUGCAGGAUCUGUUGCUACAAUGGUUGUUCCUUUCUAUUAAUGGGGACUGUGUCAGAAUGAUGGUAAAAAAUGUUCAUUUUUUUAUGAGUAACAACCAGAAUAACAAUUUUUAAUUCAAGGAAGUAUGAGUGCUCUCUUUGAGUCAGGCCAAACUAACCAUGCACAGGAAUGGGUAACUGCGGUUAGAGUUGGGUAGCUCUUAUCCCUGAGAAUCACUCAUGAGAGAAAAACUUAAAGCUGGAAAAACCAGAUUCUCUUUACUUUUCAUUUUCCACUUUUCUCUAUUUUUACAAUUUCUUUUUUGCUUCAGUGUGCAUUCCCUCACAACUUUUCUGCUGGGGUUGUACUUUUAUGCCCAUAAUAUAUUCACUGUCUCAAUUACAUCAGUGUUUGCCAGAGCAACAUACCCAGAGAAGCCCAUGGCAACAGCUACGGUAUCUUGGAUAGUUUUUGAGGAGAUGCCUCAAGAUUGCAAUUUGGGCAGCAAGAGGGACAAAAGAAACAGGACUUUUUACCAAGAAACACCUUGCAUUUCUGGCUUUUUUGUCACUCUGUGCCAUGUUUCCUGCAGCAGCAUCACCUCCAAAAGCAGCCUGGAGUUAAAGUGCAUGGAUGGAAUGGGGCCAAGGUGAGGAAGCUGAGUAUACUUCAAAGGACUUAAAAGACAGUUUUGGGGUAGUGAGAGAGUGUGGUCUGGCUUCCGUACGGAUUUUAUACUGAUCUUAAAUGUACCAUGUGCAUUUUAUACUGAUUGUAAUGUACCAUGAAAUCAUCCUAUACAGAGAGGAGAAGUCAAAUUUUCCUCCAGCUUUGAAAAGAGAAAAAAUACAAAUAUUAAUGGGCUUGUAGACUUGACUCAGCUUUUCCCACUCAAAAUCUACCAUAUUGAAGCUGACUUCCUUUGUCUCAGUAAGACUUCAGAAAUGACAGGACAAGACACACCUGU
Molecule: long non-coding RNA, 1578 nt
Organism: Junco hyemalis (dark-eyed junco)
Lineage: Eukaryota; Metazoa; Chordata; Aves; Passeriformes; Passerellidae
Source: Ensembl